AUUAUGCCAUAUAGUGCUCGCUCCGGCAACACACAUACAGAGAUUAGCAUAGCCCCUGUGCAAGGAUGACAUGCAAAUUCAUGAAGUGUUCCAUAUUUUC
Mesocricetus auratus (golden hamster) is the source of this 100-nucleotide non-coding RNA. Lineage: Eukaryota; Metazoa; Chordata; Mammalia; Rodentia; Cricetidae. The record is from Rfam.